This 306-nucleotide ribosomal RNA is filed under the name uncultured bacterium. Its description in RNAcentral is "bacterial SSU rRNA". It matches the Rfam family "Bacterial small subunit ribosomal RNA", at positions 28 to 334 of the family's 1533-position model. The record is from RNAcentral.
GAUGAACGCUGGCGGCGUGCUUAACACAUGCAAGUCGAACGGAAAGGCUCCUGCUUGCAGGGGUACUCGAGUGGCGAACGGGUGAGUAACACGUGGGUGAUCUGCCUUGUACCUCGGGAUAAGCCUGGGAAACUGGGUCUAAUACCGGAUAGGACCAAUCUUUAGUGUGGUUGGUGGAAAGUUUUGUCGGUACGAGAUGAGCCCGCGGCCUAUCAGCUUGUUGGUGAGGUAAUGGCUCACCAAGGCAUCGAUGGGUAGGGGUUCUGAGAGGAAGGUCCCCCACAUUGGAACUGAGACACGGUCCAA